Molecule: ribosomal RNA, 397 nt
Filed under: uncultured bacterium
Lineage: Bacteria
Description: partial 16S ribosomal RNA
Rfam family: Bacterial small subunit ribosomal RNA
Source: RNAcentral
CCUACGGGAGGCAGCAGUGAGGAAUAUUGGUCAAUGGCCGCAAGUCUGAACCAGCCAAGCCGCGUGCAGGACGACGGUGCUAUGCGUUGUAAACUUCUUUUGUCCAGGGAUAAAAUCAGGCACGUGUGCCUGUUUGAAAGUACUUGACGAAUAAGGAUCGGCUAACUCCGUGCCAGCAGCCGCGGUAAUACGGAGGAUCCGAGCGUUAUCCGGAUUUAUUGGGUUUAAAGGGUGCGUAGGCGGGUUGUUAAGUCAGUGGGGAAAGCUCGGGGCUCAACCCCCGAAUGGCCGUUGAUACUGGAUGUCUUGAGAUGAGGUGAGGUAGGCGGAAUGUGUGGUGUAGCGGUGAAAUGCUUAGAGAUUGCGCAGAACACCGAUUGCGAAGGCAGCUUACCAA